UAUAGGAUCAUGCACGUGUAUUGCUACGGACAGUACAAAUCAUAAAUAAAUAGCAUUCUCAUCUUACUGGCAAGCAAUUAUGUCUGUAGACAAAUGUAAAUUGCACUCGAUCAUGUUACUGUUGUAUGGCAGUCCACAACAUACGAGAUGCACCAAAACUUCGCAAUGCAAUUCCGAGAAAACACUUAAACUGGUGAACGGUGACACUCAACGGAACAUGCUGAUGAGACUAAAACAAAUUUCACUUACCUAUUUCUAUAAUAAUUGUUUCAUUCUAAAUUGUGUCUGACAAAUGAUUUUUCUUAUAUAUCUGGAAAGCCCGAAAUGGAUAGGUUAUUGGAGAUAGUCGAAGCAUGGGUUCAGAGUAAGACUCUACACUUGCAGCUGACUCGACAAUGUCAGAGGGCGCAACUCGGUUGGCGUCACGGACCAGGCGUCGCUUAGGGCUGUACGUCGUGGUCUUCGUCGAGAACUGCUGAUGUUGAUUGCCAUGGCCGCGCGUGGUGAUCCCUCGGUCAGCACCCAAGGAUUUGAUCUGCAUCCGACCGCGGGAUGGAUCGCGACAUGGGAGGCUGGUGGAUGAAAAAAAAAUAGUCAGAUUUAGGAACUGAAUACGAAAUUUGAUGUUAGUUGUAGUGUUGUUUCCCAAAAAUUUCUGCAACACUUUUUGAAGGGGAAUUUGCUGCAAAACUGUAAACAUAAAUAAGAGAAGAUGAACUUAAGUACUUGCACAACAAGUUAUUGACAUGCAUUAGUACCAUGUGUUCCCUGUAAGCCUACCUUUUUGCUUAACAAUCAUCAAGCAACUACAUUGUCUUUGUCACAUAACUAACAUGUCAGCUAAUUCUCCCUUUACAGUUUUACAUAAGUGGUGUCUAAAUGUUACAUUAGAAAAUAACUAAAUGACCACAUUAUAGUUAAGCCAAGUGAAACAGAAUAGGAACAUAUCGCAGACAUAAAUGUGACCAAAAGGCAUACAUACUGUUUCUGAAUCCGCCUAUCAGAUUGGACACUUGGUAAUGAUGUCACUUGUCUCCCGACAUGGAAGGAUUUUUGCAGUGCUCCAUCAGCGCUACCUACAAAUGGCUGAAGAAAAAAAGGGAUGAAAAAUUACAUCAUAAGUACAUCACAUUAGAAUAUGAAAUUACGAAUUCUUCAUCACUUCUUCUCAGAAUGCUUCACGAUAUUACAAAACUGGACUAAAGUGGACUAAAGGGUGUUGGGGACAACCCUACCCCUCAUUUAC
RNAcentral lists this long non-coding RNA (1246 nucleotides) under Setaria italica (foxtail millet). Its description in RNAcentral is "long non-coding RNA (SITA_LNC000236)". Lineage: Eukaryota; Viridiplantae; Streptophyta; Magnoliopsida; Poales; Poaceae. The record is from RNAcentral.